This is a long non-coding RNA of Penaeus monodon (black tiger shrimp), 193 nucleotides long. RefSeq lists it as uncharacterized. The record is from RefSeq and is a predicted model, not a curated record. The transcript is spliced from 2 exons. NCBI's taxonomy places the organism in Eukaryota, Metazoa, Arthropoda, Malacostraca, Decapoda, Penaeidae.
CGUACGAUAAUUUCAGCUGAUUCACCUGGGCGACGGCAGAAAAGCGGACAGGUAGUUUAAUGCUGGAAAGUGAAGCCCGCACAGUUAGUGUCCGUCCAGCAGUGGUUGGGAAAGGAAGUAAGGGAACGAUUUAAAAACGAAGGAAGACGGUGAGAACGAGCAGUUGGCGGACAACGGACACCACUAGAUAAAG